This 480-nucleotide ribosomal RNA is filed under the name uncultured bacterium. RNAcentral describes it as "partial 16S ribosomal RNA". It matches the Rfam family "Bacterial small subunit ribosomal RNA", at positions 28 to 523 of the family's 1533-position model. The record is from RNAcentral.
GAUGAACGCUAGCUACAGGCUUAACACAUGCAAGUCGAGCGAGAAAGUUUCCUUCGGGGAAUUUUCUAGCGGCGGACGGGUGAGUAACACGUGGGUAACCUGCCUUGUAGAGGGGGAUAGCCUUCCGAAAGGAAGAUUAAUACCGCAUAAUAUCAUUUCUUCGCAUGUUGAGAUGAUCAAAGGAGUAAUCCGCUAUAAGAUGGACCCGCGGCGCAUUAGCUAGUUGGUGAGGUAACGGCUCACCAAGGCGACGAUGCGUAGCCGACCUGAGAGGGUGAUCGGCCACAUUGGGACUGAGACACGGCCCAGACUCCUACGGGAGGCAGCAGUGGGGAAUAUUGCACAAUGGGGGAAACCCUGAUGCAGCAACGCCGCGUGAGUGAUGACGGCCUUCGGGUUGUAAAGCUCUGUCUUUGGGGACGAUAAUGACGGUACCCAAGGAGGAAGCCACGGCUAACUACGUGCCAGCCGCCGCCGUAA